GAACUGGGCCAUGCACUGUUUUUAUGUAUUACAAAGAAGAGACGCUGUGGCUUAGGUUUUUUUCUGAUGGUCGAGUAAGAUGUUUAUGCAAAGUGUCAAUGGAAACAAUUAUCUUAACAGGAUGACACAGUUGAUUUUCCUUAGAAAUGUCCUGAUUUCCUGUUUAGGUUAUCCAGAGGUCAGGUAGGGAUUUUUCUUUGCACUCCCAUAGCGCAGAUUCACAUUAUACGAGGAUUGUAGGACUUAGGUCACAAUCCAUUUAAUUCCAGUGGCUGCAUUUAUCUUCCCAAGGAAUGUGUUUCCUUUGUUUUUAUUUAGUUUCCUUUUUUGUGUUCUAUUGCUGUAACCUGUAGUAAGGAUGUGUUACCAAUAGCUAUUUGCCAGUAGUUGCUUCUUAAUUAAACUGCAUCUUAAAAGUUCAUCUUUUGCCUGUUUUGAAGUUCACAUGGAUACCUGCGGGAGUCAGAAUGUUGCAGUGUUAUCACUGUUACCUUGUCUUAGAAAUCUCUUCACUAACUGAGCACUCAGGCAAGCAUCAAGCCCCAAAGUAGGCCUUGCCUGCAUGCUGUGAAUUCCUGCCUUAGUGAAUCAGCUUCAGUGUGGUUUGAUUUUGAUAACUGCCCUCCUCCCCGUAUUUAAUUAUGCCUUGAGGUUGUGGAAAGACAUUUAUCUGUUGAAACAGUCUAAGUAGCAAGUGUUCUGACAUGUUUAUUGAGCAAAUUAUUAUACCUGACAAAAGGUAAUUACAUAUACAAUCAGGUUUGGAAGUAAAUGAAUAAUUAGGGGUUAAAAAAUAAGUGCCUUUUAGAUUCAAGAAAAAUAAACUAAAUACAUAUUUUUAAUUGAGUGAAUAUAGUAAAACCUAUUAUAUGAUUUGAAAGAAAGAACUGACUAAGGAUGCAAGCCCCCUUAAAUGCAAGUACUCACUACUAUGUUAUAAUAUUCUUUCUCUUUGAUCUGAGUUUCUUUUUAAAGAGGGAAUGACAAGAUGUCUCUGGUGUCUAAAGUAUUUAGUUUUAAUUUUAGUUGAGCUUUUUUU
Molecule: long non-coding RNA, 1039 nt
Filed under: Marmota monax (woodchuck)
Lineage: Eukaryota; Metazoa; Chordata; Mammalia; Rodentia; Sciuridae
Source: RNAcentral